Molecule: long non-coding RNA, 1526 nt
Organism: Papaver somniferum (opium poppy)
Lineage: Eukaryota; Viridiplantae; Streptophyta; Magnoliopsida; Ranunculales; Papaveraceae
Exons: 7
Source: RefSeq, a predicted model, not a curated record
UUGACACCCAUCUUUAUCUCUCGCUCUUCUUCCUUAUUCUCUAAAGUUUAACCUAACUGCGCCUCUCUCUUUCUUCUUCUUCCUCUUCUUCUCUUAUACUCGAUUAUGAGCGAAUCUUUGGCAGAUUUUCCCCAAAAGUAGUUUCUUUAUUUCAUUUGUUUGUUUUCCAAUCGUAUUAUUCAGUCAUACAAAAAUUGAAGAGAGAAUUGUUGAGUUAUCUUCCUCUUCAGAGUUUAUAUGACUGAAUUUUACCAAAACCUAACCCCGAAUUCCUCAAAUCACACACACAAUUGUACCUGUUUUAUUAUCUUCUCAACCCAUAGUUGUUCAGAUUUAGCCGUAUAAGGAACCCAAUUUUAGUUUUACCAUCUGAAACCCUACUUUCAUUUUGAUUUUUCCUUAUAAAAGUAGAAGGUGUUUAUUGGUAAUUGAUGGUGUCAUGACUCUUACAAGGUUUCAUUUGGUAUUAGCAUUAUCGAUAGCUUGAUUUAGGUAUAAUGGCUGUUUAUGGAAGUGGAUGGUCUAGGACUCUAGUGCUCAUGCAACUUUCUAUUUGUGGUGUGGUGGUGUUUCUGGUACAACAGCCUGAAAAUCCUGCGGAGCUUGGUGGGAAGAUGAUGUCUAUGGCUCUCUCAGGAAACUGGUCCCUGAUGGAGUCAACAGAGUAACAUGAGCGAUGGUCCGGAGGCUGCUAUGUAAUCGAAUCAGUUGAAGCUGGCUCCGAUCAGAAAUGACGUGACUUGAAUCACUUCCUGGAGGACUACCGGUGCAGAUGUUGUAUGAGUAUUUUCUUGAGGUGUUGGCUUCCUUGUUGGCUUAUUAAUGCUCCAUUUAUGUGGCUAUGCUUUCUACAGUGAUAUGCGCAACAGGAAAUGAGAAGUUUAACAACUAUUGGGAAGCAGAACUAUCCCAAGAGAAUGUUCAGGAAUCUGCACCAUGGACAAGGUAUGAGAUUUCCCAAUUGUCGGCAGGUGAACUUGCACACACAUUGCAUACAUAUGUGAGAACCACAUAGAAAUGUGAUGUCAAUCAGAUAUAUACAAGUUUGGAAAUGUGGAUGACACAUAGACAUAAGUGUUGUGUGCAUAUGUGUUUGUUACAUAAAAACCGGAUACUGGGAUCCAGCAGCACCCAUUUGGUCUUUGCUUUCUGAGUUACAAGUGUUGAUAGAGCAAAGUCGCAAAAUAAUGAAGAUUAUGAUUGCGUGAUUGAUGGAUGUAAGUGCGAUGUUAUGCGAGAGAGAUGGAGUACUUGGAGAUGUUUCAAGUGAUAACAUGAUUAAGUGGUCAAAAGCUUAUGUAACUCGAAGAGCGGCCAAAUUAGAGUGGCAGGGCAACAGUAGACUGAGUUCAGCUUUAAUGUUCGAUAUGUAAGGUAUUAGAGUGGCAGGGUGACGGUAGACUGAACUCGGUUUUAAAGUUCGAUAUGUAAGGUUGCUAGUAUUUAUCUUUCCAUUUGUAUCCAGAGAUUCAAUUUCUUUGAAAAAAAUGAUUAAUAAAGUUAAUUUUAGAUUCAGUUUGAAAUCA